GACGAACGCUGGCGGCGUGCUUAACACAUGCAAGUCGAACGGUAAGGCCCUUCGGGGUACACGAGUGGCGAACGGGUGAGUAACACGUGGGUGAUCUGCCCUGCACUUCGGGAUAAGCCUGGGAAACUGGGUCUAAUACCGGAUAGGACUCCGGACUGCAUGGUCUGGGGUGGAAAGCUUUUGCGGUGUGGGAUGGGCCCGCGGCCUAUCAGCUUGUUGGUGGGGUGAUGGCCUACCAAGGCGACGACGGGUAGCCGGCCUGAGAGGGUGACCGGACACACUGGGACUGAGAUACAGCCCAGACUCCUUCGGGAGGCAGCAGUGGGGAAUAUUGCACAAUGGGAGCAGGCCUGAUGCAGCGACGCCGCGUGUGGGAUGACGGCGUUCGGGUUGUAAACCUCUUUCAGCAUCGACGAAGCGAAAGUGACGGUAGGUGCAGAAGAAGGACCGGCCAACUACGUGCCAGCCGCCGCCGUAA
This 478-nucleotide ribosomal RNA is filed under the name uncultured bacterium. RNAcentral describes it as "partial 16S ribosomal RNA". It matches the Rfam family "Bacterial small subunit ribosomal RNA", at positions 28 to 523 of the family's 1533-position model. The record is from RNAcentral.